Acanthaster planci (crown-of-thorns starfish) is the source of this 898-nucleotide long non-coding RNA. The record is from RefSeq and is a predicted model, not a curated record. NCBI's taxonomy places the organism in Eukaryota, Metazoa, Echinodermata, Asteroidea, Valvatida, Acanthasteridae.
UACCGUUGAUACUUACAAACAAUCCAAGAGUAGGGCAGUUUGACCCCUUUCCCAGUAUCCAUGACUGAUAAAUUUUUAUCAGUGUUGGCGUAUUAACGAGGAUGUGGAAAGUACGUGGAAAGUACGGAAAGGUUAAGUUAGGUCACUCUCCUUGCAUGAACUGUUGCAUUUCUAACCCAUAUUUGACCUGUUCGACUCAACAGGUGUAUUGUGUAGAGGGCAGUUUCGACUCAAUUCGUUGUAACUUUUGUGCUAUGACUACCUUUGCUGUCGUGGAAUUUCUUCAGGAAGGGUCGGUGGAAGUUGUCCAUAAAUCUUGGAUAAGGAAAAACAAGGGGCCAGUAGCUAAACAUUGUGUCCUUCAUAAGUGUUAGUGCAUUAGCAAUUACUGCAUUACGUUUCAAUAGAUUUAAAAUAGACGAUUCCCAGAUGCACAGCAAUUUUUUAAAUUACUGUCACAGAUAGACUCUGUUCAUUUUGUCUUUACAAUCUACAGGCCUGAUGUAUCAUGAUGCGAUGGUGAUUUUUCGUCUUUUUUUUUUUUAUCAAGGAACCAUUGAGGUGUUUCUGGCCCAAAAAGAGUGUCUCAACAAGGGUUCGUAAAAGGGAGAUUCCAGAUGAAGAAAAGUGAGCAGCUACGAGAUACGGGUGUUCAUUUAUACUGAUUCAUAUGAAAAGGCACUCCAUAAUGCAAAAAUCGCAGAGGAUACGUCAACUGUCGAAUCGGUGGACAGCGAUGAUGAGCCCCGUCGACGAAAGCGACCUGCUGGAUAUCAGUCGUCUUCCCCGUCAGAGGUGGGGAGUGACAGCAAAGAUGAUAUGGCACCAUUGAAGAAGCAACCAACCCCAAAGCCCCUAGCAAAUCCCCCAGAUGUAGACAUCGAUUUGCUCAACCAAG